UGCAGUCGACGAUGAAGCCUAGCUUGCUAGGUGGAUUAGUGGCGCACGGGUGAGUAAUAUAUAGAUAAUGUGCCUCUUAGUCUGGGAUAGCCAUUGGAAACGAUGAUUAAUACUAGAUACUCCUUCUCAUUCUAAUGUGAGUUGGGAAAGUUUUUCGCUAAGAGAUCAGUCUAUAUCCCAUCAGCUUGUUAGUAGUGUAAGAGACUACCAAGGCAAUGACGGGUAGCGGGUUUGAGAGGAUGAUCCGCCACACUGGUACUGAGACACGGACCAGACUCCUACGGGAGGCAGCAGUGAGGAAUAUUGCACAAUGGGGGAAACCCUGAUGCAGCAACGCCGCGUGGAGGAUGACGCAUUUCGGUGUGUAAACUCCUUUUAUGAGUCAAGAAAAUGACGGUAGCUCAUGAAUAAGCACCGGCUAACUCCGUGCCAGCAGCCGCGGUAAUACGGAGGGUGCAAGCGUUAUUCGGAAUCACUGGGCGUAAAGGACGCGUAGGCGGGUUGUCAAGUCUGAUGUGAAAUCCUAUGGCUCAACCAUAGAACUGCAUUGGAAACUGGCAACCUAGAGUAUGGGAGGGGGAGAUGGAAUUAGUGGUGUAGGGGUAAAAUCCGUAGAUAUCACUAGGAAUACCGAAAGCGAAGGCGAUCUCCUGGAACAUUACUGACGCUAAGGCGUGAAAGCGUGGGGAGCAAACGGGAUUAGAUACCCCGGUAGUCCACUGCAGUCGACUGCAGUCGACUGCAGUCGACUGCUAGU
This 757-nucleotide ribosomal RNA is filed under the name uncultured Sulfurimonas sp. RNAcentral describes it as "bacterial SSU rRNA". It matches the Rfam family "Bacterial small subunit ribosomal RNA", at positions 56 to 852 of the family's 1533-position model. The record is from RNAcentral. Lineage: Bacteria; Pseudomonadati; Campylobacterota; Epsilonproteobacteria; Campylobacterales; Sulfurimonadaceae.